CCGUACUAAGCGGGGAGCUAGUGGUGCCCUAUUCCCGAAAUCCACUAUAUGCGGGGCUGAAUGCCAAUGGCGGUGCAGGUGGUUUUAUUUUGUGAUGUAAACUCUUACGUUGAGUUUAAGGUCUUGUGCAAUAGCAUGCUAUGAACCGUGUCAGAGCUUGACCGCAGCAGCACUAAAUGGAUGUUGUUAUGUGCCAUAAGGUAGCUUUGAAGGAGUUUGAUUUACACCACAGGUAACGCCAACCACAUCAACAUUGGAUGUACGG
RNAcentral lists this signal recognition particle RNA (265 nucleotides) under Clostridia bacterium. Its description in RNAcentral is "signal recognition particle sRNA large type". It matches the Rfam family "Bacterial large signal recognition particle RNA". Rfam says of the family: The signal recognition particle (SRP) is a universally conserved ribonucleoprotein involved in the co-translational targeting of proteins to membranes. Archaeal SRP consists of a 7S RNA and homologues of the eukaryotic SRP19 and SRP54 proteins. The record is from RNAcentral. Lineage: Bacteria; Bacillati; Bacillota; Clostridia.